RNAcentral lists this ribosomal RNA (726 nucleotides) under Pseudomonas sp. H3(2011). Its description in RNAcentral is "bacterial SSU rRNA". It matches the Rfam family "Bacterial small subunit ribosomal RNA", at positions 59 to 780 of the family's 1533-position model. The record is from RNAcentral. Lineage: Bacteria; Pseudomonadati; Pseudomonadota; Gammaproteobacteria; Pseudomonadales; Pseudomonadaceae.
AAGUCGAGCGGUAGAGAGAAGCUUGCUUCUCUUGAGAGCGGCGGACGGGUGAGUAAUGCCUAGGAAUCUGCCUAGUGGUGGGGGAUAACGUUCGGAAACGGACGCUAAUACCGCAUACGUCCUACGGGAGAAAGCGGGGGACCUUCGGGCCUCGCGCCAUUAGAUGAGCCUAGGUCGGAUUAGCUAGUUGGUGAGGUAACGGCUCACCAAGGCGACGAUCCGUAACUGGUCUGAGAGGAUGAUCAGUCACACUGGAACUGAGACACGGUCCAGACUCCUACGGGAGGCAGCAGUGGGGAAUAUUGGACAAUGGGCGAAAGCCUGAUCCAGCCAUGCCGCGUGUGUGAAGAAGGUCUUCGGAUUGUAAAGCACUUUAAGUUGGGAGGAAGGGUAGUAACUUAAUACGUUGCUACUUUGACGUUACCGACAGAAUAAGCACCGGCUAACUUCGUGCCAGCAGCCGCGGUAAUACGAAGGGUGCAAGCGUUAAUCGGAAUUACUGGGCGUAAAGCGCGCGUAGGUGGUUCAGUAAGUUGGAUGUGAAAGCCCCGGGCUCAACCUGGGAACUGCAUCCAAAACUGCUGAGCUAGAGUACGGUAGAGGGUGGUGGAAUUUCCUGUGUAGCGGUGAAAUGCGUAGAUAUAGGAAGGAACACCAGUGGCGAAGGCGACCACCUGGACUGAUACUGACACUGAGGUGCGAAAGCGUGGGGAGCAAACAGGAUUA